RNAcentral lists this long non-coding RNA (249 nucleotides) under Panax ginseng (ginseng). Its description in RNAcentral is "long non-coding RNA (PGIN_LNC006278)". Lineage: Eukaryota; Viridiplantae; Streptophyta; Magnoliopsida; Apiales; Araliaceae. The record is from RNAcentral.
UACUUUCUACUAGGGUUCAAUCUAGGUCUGUUUAAACAGACAUAAAGCUUGGGUAAAUCAUGUAAGUCAGCAACCUUGAGAGCCUAAGGAAUACAACUACAAUAACUCAUAAUCUUACAUACUCAUAACUUAACAUAAACAAAAACUUGUGAAAAUUAUACAUCACUAUUAAAAAUAAUUUUUGACGUGUUGAGUAAAUACUUGCUCUACCAGGGUAUUUCUUUAUUAGUGUUGACAUUGAGGUUCACC